RNAcentral lists this ribosomal RNA (902 nucleotides) under Enterobacter cloacae. RNAcentral's name for it is "partial 16S ribosomal RNA". It matches the Rfam family "Bacterial small subunit ribosomal RNA", at positions 41 to 934 of the family's 1533-position model. Lineage: Bacteria; Pseudomonadati; Pseudomonadota; Gammaproteobacteria; Enterobacterales; Enterobacteriaceae. The record is from RNAcentral.
GGCAGGGCAGCUACAUGCAAGUCAACGGUAGCACGAGAGCUUGCUCUCGGGUGACGAGUGGCGGACGGGUGAGUAAUGUCUGGGAAACUGCCUGAUGGAGGGGGAUAACUACUGGAAACGGUAGCUAAUACCGCAUAAUGUCGCAAGACCAAAGAGGGGGACCUUCCGGCCUCUUGCCAUCAAAUGUGCCCAGAUGGGAUUAGCUAGUAGGUGGGGUAACGGCUCACCUAAGCAACUAUCCCUAGCUGGACUGAAAGGAUGACCACCCACACUGGAACUGAGACACGGUCCACACUCCUACGGGAGGCAGCAGUGGGAAAUAUUGCACAAUGGGCGCAAGCCUGAUGCAUCCAUGCCGCGUGUAUGAAGAAGGCCUUCGGGUUGUAAAGUACUUUCAGCGGGGAGGAAGGUGUUGUGGUUAAUAACCACAGCGAUUGACGUUACCCGCAUAAGAAGCACCGGAAUAACUCCGUGCCAGCACCCGCGGUAAUACAGAGGGUGCAAGCUAUAAUCAUAAUUGCUGGGCAUAAAGCGCACACGGGCGGUCUGUCAAGUAAGGAUGAGAACUCCCCGGUGCUCAUACUGGUAACUGCAUUCCAAACUGGGGCGCUGGAAUCUUGAAGAAGGGGGUAAAAUUUCCGGGGGAGCGGAGAAAUGCAUAAAUAUCUGGAAGAAUACACGGGGCAAGAGGGCGCCCCUGGGAAAAAAACUGACUUUCAGGUGCAAAAGCGGGGGGGGCAAAAGGGAUUAAACACCCUGGGGGCCCCCCCCGUAAAAAAUCUCAAUAUCAAGGUGGCCCCUUGAAGGUUGGGUUCCCGAAAAAACGCUUAAAAAUCACCCCCCGGGGGAAGACCGCCCCAAGGUAAAAUCCCAAUAAUAUGCGGGGGGCCCCCCCACCGGGG